AACGCAGAAGCAGGUGUACGGACGAGACGAUUUUUCGGCCGUACGCUAUGGAGGAGCGACUUAGCGAUGAACUGAUAGGCAGGGCGGCGAUACAGCGGAUAAAGCGCGAUGGAGCACGAUCAAUUCGGCUCUAUGAACGAGAGCAGGAAAUAAAAAAGUUGCAAGAUGAACUGCGCGAGUGUUCACGGCGAGCUGGACUCGAGCGUUUCUCCGAGUGCCGGAGCCUCGUACAAGAGCUGAUCAAGAUUUUUGAGGAGCCUUGGUACGGUGCGUUCUCGAAAAACGACUGAGGUGGUCUCCGAGACGGGUAAUGAUCAUCCUGGGGCCGCGCGCCUCACUCACAAGCGACCCUGUGGACGGGAGUUGCAGCGGGAGUCCGAACUGCCAGGACCGUGUGCACGUGGACUGCCGCAGCGCCCGCGACCAAGGCGAGCUGGCCUCUACAUCAGCGAUCGCUGGUGCCGUCAACAAAUUGGGAACUCUCUGAGAGGUUUUGCAGGUGCCGCGCUGGCUUUGGUUGCAAAGCCCGCGACGCCUGUGCGACCUGCACACGCCACACAGGUCCAGUGGGGUCGGUGCAGCGGCCCGCCUCCACCGGAACAAGCACUUUUGAUACCUUUCGCAGUCGAUCUUUUGCGUAUAAGAUGAGAGGCCUCGGACGCAAUUGUUAUCGGCGGAUUCAUGUUUUCGAUCUGCAUGCGUGGCGGCAGAAGAAUAUCGUCGGGGAUUUGUGCGAGAAUCGUCGCUGCGACGCUCUGGUUGCCGGGGAUCCUCUUCAGUCUGGUGAAGAGGACGCAGACAUGAUGCUUUUGCAGGCGUCGUUGCGAGGCCUGCACACACACCGUAAUUUUUUGACGGCAUGCCCCGCGUUUUACACAGGGCUCAGGGACACUCGCCUCUGGACUUGUUGCUCGUUACGAUAAUGAUGUUGAUGAUGAUGAUGGGGUUUUUGGGUUGCAGUCCCGCCAUUUACAGAGCGGAGCAUGCUCUGUACUGAAUGUUUGCGGCAACUUGGGACAUUCGGUUUCCGCGUAUCGACACGAUAAACUUUGCGUCCAAAGAAGAGAUUCGGAGAGCCUUUACCUGGAUGUCGUACAAUGCCGAGAAAUCAUAUCGGGGACGAACUUUGCACGACUGCAGGCAUGCAGGCCGCGCAAACACUGACAGAACCGCUCCAUACGCGGUUUUAUACGCGAGGUAACAGGAUAGAAAGACUGAGUAUUCGGUGGUAAGCUGCACGUCAGGAUAAAGCUUGUGCUUCCUUGAUAGAUCGCUGAGCAGUUACGGUGUAUGCAGGCACGACAUCAGCUGCUGGAUGAUCUCAUGCACAGCGAGCUCUGAACCAUAGAGUUUAAAGAGAAAGCGCGAAACUAGCGGCGCGAUGUGAAUCUGUUGCUCGGGAAAGACUCUCCAACUUGCCGCCUACGGAUGCACUCGUGGCUAGCUCAGCGUAUUCACUGAGAGUUUAGUCACUGUAACACCAGACAUAAUCACGGUCCGGAUGCGAUCUCCAGACGCGCUCAAAAUCUACGAAUAAAGUCUGCAAGGAAAGAUGCGCAC
RNA transcript from Cyanidioschyzon merolae strain 10D, 1560 nucleotides. RefSeq lists it as hypothetical. The record is from RefSeq and is a predicted model, not a curated record. NCBI's taxonomy places the organism in Eukaryota, Rhodophyta, Bangiophyceae, Cyanidiales, Cyanidiaceae. The transcript has a single exon.